Molecule: long non-coding RNA, 884 nt
Organism: Rosa chinensis
Lineage: Eukaryota; Viridiplantae; Streptophyta; Magnoliopsida; Rosales; Rosaceae
Exons: 3
Source: RefSeq, a predicted model, not a curated record
GCCUUUGUUGUAGGUGGUGUGUCAGAAGUCAUUCUUUGAUGCAUGCAGGUUUCACUUUGGCUCCUGGAGUUGGGUAUUACACCUGAAAGCCAUGAUCAGUUGAUUGAAUUAGUUGCUUGCUCUGAAGCUGGGAUUCUUCAUUUGUUUAGUCACCAACAAUCACAGUUAGAAUGCAGGCGCAGGAAGAGGCUCCUCCAGAAAUGCAACUCCAAAGGAUAUUACUCCAGAAGUCGGUAGUUACACUACACAAUGUUGUGAGUUCUGACGUGUGUGGGUUCUGUGUCGAAUGCUAUUGAUUUGUGGGAUUGGGGUUGUGUGUAGUUCAAUAAAGAGGCAGGACGUGUGGUUGAGGAGUGCAAAUUGAGAGUGGUAUAGGUUUCUCCAUCUCGAUCUGCCCCCUUCUCCGGUCCCAGAAGGGUCAGAGUAAGGGUCUUCACCAAGAACUUCUAUCAUGGAGAAUGGAAAUUUUAAUGGUGCUGGGUUUUCUAUUGGACGAAAACAUAAAACAGCAUUACACGAAGUUUGAUCACCUUUUGUUCAAAGUGCCCUUCUCAUGAACAGACUCAAAGAGUCGCAUUCCAAACGACAUAGAUAACAAGAAGUUCAGUUGACUACAGAAGUGGAAAGCAAAAAGUAAUCCCAAAGAAACAACCGAUGAUAUUGCAGGGGAAAGCCAACAAGGAAAGCUGGUGAAUGAGCAAUGACCACUCUAACGGUCAUUUAUUUCAAAUAGGCAAUCCAGUAAGGUAAAAACUUAAUUAAGUAAAAGUUCAAUUUCACCGCUAACAGUAGGGGAUUUAUUCCUGAACAUGUUAGCAGUUUGCAUGUCUUUUGCAAACUGGCAGGCAGAUAGUCUUGCUUGUAAGUUGAUAUAACAUCACACA